This 550-nucleotide ribosomal RNA is filed under the name uncultured bacterium. Its description in RNAcentral is "bacterial SSU rRNA". It matches the Rfam family "Bacterial small subunit ribosomal RNA", at positions 774 to 1319 of the family's 1533-position model. The record is from RNAcentral.
AGUGAAUAGAUACCCGGGUAGUCCACGCCCUAAACUAUGUCAACUAGGUGUUGGGUGGGUAAAACCAUUUAGUACCGUAGCUAAACGCGUGAAAGUUGACCGCCUGGGGAGUACGGCCGCAAGGUUAAAACUCAAAGGAAUUGACGGGGACCCGCACAAGCGGUGGAUGAUGUGGAUUAAUUCGAUGCAACGCGAAAAACCUUACCUACCCUUGACAUGCCAGGAACUUGCCAGAGAUGGCUUGGUGCCCGAAAGGGAGCCUGGACACAGGUGCUGCAUGGCUGUCGUCAGCUCGUGUCGUGAGAUGUUGGGUUAAGUCCCGCAACGAGCGCAACCCUUGUCGUUAAUUGCCAUCAUUUGGUUGGGCACUUUAACGAGACUGCCGGUGACAAACCGGAGGAAGGUGGGGAUGACGUCAAGUCCUCAUGGCCCUUAUGGGUAGGGCUUCACACGUCAUACAAUGGUCGGUACAGAGGGUUGCCAAGCCGCGAGGCGGAGCCAAUCCCAGAAAGCCGAUCGUAGUCCGGAUUGCAGGCUGCAACUCGCCUGC